AACGCAAAUUGCGCCCAAGGCUUCGGCCGAGGGCAUGUCUGCCUCAGCGUCGGUUUUACCCCUCGUUCUGCACCCUUGGGUGUGUGAACGGAUCUGGCCGUCUUGGUUCUGCCGACAUUGAUCGGUUUCCAGGUCGGCUGAAGCUGAGAGGCUUGAGCACGGUCCCGACUGAAGGGCGACCGCUUGGUAGGUGGACUGUCCACAACCCUGCCGUCGUCUGAGGGGCUUUGCUGUGGGCCAAUCGAGUUGGGGCCACGUCCCACAGCUCUCUCUUAACAUUCGACCUGAGCUCAGGCAAGACUACCCGCUGAACUUAA
Molecule: unclassified non-coding RNA, 317 nt
Filed under: uncultured fungus
Lineage: Eukaryota; Fungi
Description: partial contains 5.8S ribosomal RNA, internal transcribed spacer 2, and large subunit ribosomal RNA
Source: RNAcentral